GGGUGGAUGCAGCACUGGUACAGCACUGCCAGUCUAUGGGGCUGGUUCGGAUCAUCUGGCUGGCUAAGCAGGUGCCCCCCUCCUCCCUCACUGCUCCACCUGAGGCUCUGUGCUCAGUGGAGGAGGAUGAGGUCCCCCUGGUGGACAACCAUAAAUCCACAGUCCAGUUGCUGCACUCCCCUGCCAGAACUUCCAAACAAGGUCAAAGCACAGACCGUGUGGCUGAAGGUUGUAUUUACAAUCUUGUCUUGCAAAGUUUGUGAUAUCAA
Molecule: small nuclear RNA, 269 nt
Filed under: Lates calcarifer (barramundi perch)
Lineage: Eukaryota; Metazoa; Chordata; Actinopteri; Centropomidae
Description: 7SK RNA (ENSLCAG00010000163.1)
Rfam family: 7SK RNA
About the family: 7SK was discovered as an abundant small nuclear RNA in the mid-70s but a possible function has only recently been suggested.
Source: RNAcentral